This 434-nucleotide ribosomal RNA is filed under the name uncultured bacterium. RNAcentral's name for it is "partial 16S ribosomal RNA". It matches the Rfam family "Bacterial small subunit ribosomal RNA", at positions 29 to 507 of the family's 1533-position model. The record is from RNAcentral.
AGCGAACGCUGGCGGCAGGCCUAACACAUGCAAGUCGAACGAACCUUUCGGGGUUAGUGGCGGACGGGUGAGUAACACGUGGGAACGUGCCUUUAGGUUCGGAAUAACUCAGGGAAACUUGUGCUAAUACCGAAUGUGCCCUUCGGGGGAAAGAUUUAUCGCCUUUAGAGCGGCCCGCGUCUGAUUAGCUAGUUGGUUGAGGUAAUGGCUCACCAAGGCGACGAUCAGUAGCUGGUCUGAGAGGAUGAUCAGCCACAUUGGGACUGAGACACGGCCCAAACUCCUACGGGAGGCAGCAGUGGGGAAUCUUGCGCAAUGGGCGAAAGCCUGACGCAGCCAUGCCGCGUGAAUGAUGAAGGUCUUAGGAUUGUAAAAUUCUUUCACCGGAGACGAUAAUGACGGUACCCGGAGAAGAAGCCCCGGCUAACUUCGUG